RNAcentral lists this ribosomal RNA (652 nucleotides) under Hygrobates taniguchii. RNAcentral describes it as "small subunit ribosomal RNA". Lineage: Eukaryota; Metazoa; Arthropoda; Arachnida; Trombidiformes; Hygrobatidae. The record is from RNAcentral.
AUCAUCGAAAGUAAACUAAUUUUUUAAUUCCAAUUAUUUAUACCAAUAGUAUUAUAUUUGUAGGAUUUUAUAUUACAAUAAUAAAUUGUUGUAGGGAAAAGUAUCUAAUGGCGUGCCAGCGGUUGCGGUUAUACGAUUAUUUAUAAAAAUUAUUUUAUUAGGAAAGUGAAUUUAUUUUCUAAAGUUAAAUCUAGGGUGAAAUCUAUUUUUUACUUUUAAACUAAGUUUUUCCUUUUGACAUUUAAAACAAAAUAGGAUUAGAUACCCUUUUAUUAAUUUUAAGAGGUAUUAAAUGAUAUACAUGAAACCUAACUCAUUUGGCGGUUUAACCACUUAACAGAGGGGCUUGCUUAAUAAUCGAUAAUCCUCGUUUAAUUUCUCUUUACCUAUUAUUUUAUAUACCUCCGUAAAAGAUCAAUUUUAAUUAUUUUUUCUUUUAAACAAUUUAAUUAAAUCAGGUCAAGGUUUAAACUAUGAUAAAGAAUAAGUUAGCCACGUAUUAUAGACCUCCCUAAAGAGGGCGUUCUCAGGAUUUGAUUGUAAAUUAAAAGUAUAUUUUAUUAUUGAAUUAGUAAAGUUAAAUGUACAUAUCGCCCGUCACUCUUGUAAAAGAUAAGUCGUAACAAAGUAGAGGUAUCGGAAGUUGCCUCUU